Non-coding RNA from Cyanistes caeruleus (blue tit), 3549 nucleotides. The record is from RefSeq and is a predicted model, not a curated record. NCBI's taxonomy places the organism in Eukaryota, Metazoa, Chordata, Aves, Passeriformes, Paridae.
ACUUCCCGCCUCAGUGCGAGGGGCGCGGGCGGGAGUGGGGACGGUCCCCUCAGAGAAUGGUGGGCGUGAUGUUGGUGGCGCUCUCCGUGAGGCAGGGACGGGACAGCGAGGGGUGGUGGGAGCCGGGCGUCCCCUUAGCGGGGACAGUCCACGGGGCCGGGCACCGAGGUUCCCGGGCUGCCCCCGCCACCGCCCUCCCCACCGGCUGACAUUUGCCAUGCGCAGACAAUACGCACUUUACCAAACAAUUCAGCCCGAGCCCCGCUGCAAACUCGCUGCGUUAUUUUUCUCCUCGUUCUCCGCUUGUUUAUGGCUGACGCUAUCUCGCCUGCACCGCUCCCUCGGUUUCAUUAUCUCUUGUCGCAGACGGACCGUGGCUUUCCUUCCUCACAGGGCUUCUCUCUGCUGGUGCUACAGCUCCCUCUCCUCUCCCCAGCUCUGCAUCCUUCACCCUUGCUCACAGGUGAGCCUUUUCCAGCGAAGCACUUCACUCCAGCUGUCCUUCCUCCUGCAGUCCCGUCUCCUCUAAAGACCUCACCAUCCCGUAAAAUAAAGCCAAUGGCGCUAAUGUAAUAAUGCUGAUAUUGUGGCCAGCGGGACCAGGGCAGUGACCAUCCCCUGUGCUGGGGCACCUCCAAUCCGAGGGAUGCUGAAUUUAUUUAAUCUGCAGGAUUAAAGUAGUGCAACAGCUUCCAGGGAUUCAAAUGCAUGGUGGGAAAAGGAGAAAAGUUUUUUACCUCAUUGGCAGAGAAUUUAAGGAUGGGUGUAACAGCCAGCGUGUCCCUCUAAGGCAGCACCUGAGAGGGUCAUGUGUGUGACAUCCUUUAAGGAAGAUGCUUCCUCUGGAUCACUUUCUUAGCAACCACAAUGAGCCAUCCUGGUAGAGCUGGGAGCCUCCAUGCAGUCUGGAUCUUGAGUCCUGUGUUCAUUCUGGGCUUGGUUGUGCUGGUUCCCUGCGGAGAACUCUGACCACCCUUCCAAGAUACUCCAUGACUGGUUUCUUUUCUCAGAGACUGAGUUUGAGGAUAUAUUUCACAGAGCAAUAGCUAUGCAAAUGCAAAUCCUCCUUGUAGAGUUCUUUUAACUUCAAGCCACUAAAUAUACCCAUUUGGUCUGUGGAACUGAAUUUACUUCCCCUCUCAGAGGAACAAGCUUUGUCAGCUGUAAUGAUGAGCUGUUGUUUGACGUUCAUAAUAUUGUACUUCACUGCUUAUCUGAUGGAGCCAUGCAAAGCUAUUUGGGGGGUUCUGAAAUGUGACAGCCCACAUGAUGCUUUUUUAGACUUCACAAACCGCCUUCACGAGGCAGGAGAAUAUGACAUGGGAACGGCUGGCUGGAACAACGGCGUGCCUUAAUGCCAGCGGGCUUGCUGUAGCUGGGGAGGAGGAAUGCUCUUUGGAAGUUUGCAGCUUUUGUUGUGUGCUGUCAAAGGAAGAACUUAGAGCCUGAAAGAACAUCAUGGAUGCCAUAGGUGGGGACUGUGGGGAUUAUUGAUCCUGUCUGGAAACAGCAUAAUGAUGGAGGCAAAUAUGUUAAACCUGUUUGGAUCAUCCACGGACAGAAGGGGACUCAAGGGAGACAGCUCAGAUACCCCAUUUCAUGCUGUCUUGCCAUAAUGAACAAAAAUAUCUCACUUUCUGACAAACUUCUGUAUCUUCAUCCUUGCUGACAUGUGGAGUAUUCGUUGCAGGCUUAGUUAUGAAUCCUGGAAGCCUCCAGGUGAAAGAACUCAUUUAGGAAAACAAAAACUCAACAAAUCUUCUGGCUCCUCUUCACAGACUAACAGCUGAAGAGCACACGGGUUACCUGUGACAGCUGUUCCAUAUGAACCCACUGAAGCUGACUAAAUGAGUGGUGCAUUCUCGCUUCCCUGCAGUGGCCAGGCUUUAAAGACCUGAUGGGGACUCUGGCCACACAAUGACCUGGCAGUCAUGGCUGUAUGUGACUGUCACUCCCACCUGCCUCUCCUGGCAUUCCCUGAACUUUAACCACAGCUUCUGGCUGCAUCACAGUCCUGUAGGUCACUGGGGAAAGGCAGAAGAGGUUGUCCCUUCAAGUCCUGCCACCACGGUUCCUCUCAGUGUCCUCUGGCUCAGGCUGACCCAUCACCAUCUGCCCCAUGUCCCACCUCUGACAUCCUGCCUCAUCCUUUUCCUGUGAAGAACCACAGCUGGAGUAAAACAGGGGGACAAUGCCAUGGGAAAACCCUUUCCUGGGAUGCAAUAACCCCCCAGCCUGUUCAUCUUUGUCAUGUGAUUGUGCUUGUCAGCACAGCUCUGCUGCAGAGCUCGGGCUGUGCCGGGCCCUGCAGGGUUGGAGGCUGGGCUGGCUCUCCUGGAGCAUUUGGCUGAGUCUGUCACCAGUGACUGAAGCAGGAGCAGGUUUCAGCUGCUGAAAAUCCCAUCCAGAUCUGCUGCAAAGUGGAAAUCAUUUGUUAAAUGCUUUCUAUUGGGACAGUAGCACUCCUUCCUCUUGCAGAAGCAUUUGGAUUUCUGCCCAUGGAGAGGACCAAAGAGAGCAUCAGGAUCCAACUAGGUGGUGACAGCGGGGAUGGAGACCCCAUGGAGCAGGUUCUGGGUGCCACAGGAUGCCGUGGCCGAUUUGCAUCCAGGUCUGUGCGGGAAGGAGAGGCAUGGCCGAACAUCACAGUGUCCCUUCCAUCCCUGCACGGGGAUGGACAGAACAGCAACGACCUGACAGCAAAACGGGUCCUCCAGGAGGACGGUGAGAAGGGACAGAUGGGCACAGGUGGCCCUGGAGGGACGCUCUCCCCCUCCAGCAGAAAUCGGAGCCCUGAGCGUGGGGCCGGCGGUGGCAGGGCUGCGGGGAUGGCUUUUCACACGCCCCCUUCCCCUUCCCAGAUUCCAAUCCCUGCUUCCCUGGGGGUAUAAUCCACUGGCUCCUGCAAGUCCUGUGCUCCCUGUAUCCUCCCAGGGCGGGUCUUGUCAGGACCUUGUAUCCUAAAUAUCUAAACCUGCCUUUAUUCUGGCCAAGCCCUUUAAAACCUCACAGAAAUUGACUGGACACAAAGAAGCUGUCAGGGAGUUCCUGGGAUUUUCCAGUUGGACCUGUUGCAGACCCCACCAUUCCUGUGAGACCCAUUUUCAUGGUGAUGUCCCUUCCCUCCAGGCUCUGUGGGGUCCCCAUGGCCUUUGCUCAGGGCCAUCCCCCCAGUGCUCCUCCAGCUCGUGGCCCUUCCAGCCCAGGACUCAGAGCAGGGGGGAGCCCGGCUCCAGCUCCAGCUUGGGGUCAGCUGGGCCAACAUCUUCAGAGGGAAGUGUCCCACAAGGGUUCAAGCAGCCCAGAGGACACAAGCACAAGGAUGGGACUGAGGAUGGGGUUGGCUCUCCAGACCCUUGUGCACCCCAAAACUCAGGAUGCUCAGAUACAUCAUCACAUCCCAGAAGCUUCAUGAUCCCAAAACACCAGCAUGUAACAAAUAUAUUCCUGGUUUUCAAUGCAGACAGAAGUCUAGGAAACGGUUUUGUCAAACUAACUUGACCUCAUUUGUAGAGAAAAUUUUAAGUUUAAUUAAAAAAAGUUAUGAAG